UUUUAUUGGGUGGGACUCUUGCUACAUGGUGGAAGGCAAUUCAAAUUACUCCAACAUACAAAGGAUUUCUUCAUUUUAACGUGAAAGCUUGGCUGAGCUAAAAAGGGAGUGUUGGAGCAAACAUCAGUGCAGAUUUGGUACACACAAAUUUAUUUUUUGGGUUUCUCCAUCACGGUUCACGUACACACAAAUUUUUUGGAUUUCAUUGAGAAUUCAUUGGAAUGGAAUAUUAGAAAAGUUCAGAAUAUGCAUCAUCAAAGGAGAUGGUGGCGGAUCCGUUGACAAAGGAAGCUGCUGCAGAGAGUUUCAAGGGACAUAUCCGUACUAUGGGAGUUAUUAAAUAAUUAUUGUACAUCUCAAAUUAUUUGGCCAAGUGGGAGAUGUUGAAUUGUGUGGCCAAAUAGCCCAC
Quercus robur (English oak) is the source of this 409-nucleotide long non-coding RNA. RefSeq lists it as uncharacterized. The transcript is spliced from 3 exons. The record is from RefSeq and is a predicted model, not a curated record. Lineage: Eukaryota; Viridiplantae; Streptophyta; Magnoliopsida; Fagales; Fagaceae.